GGAAAGAUGAAUCAAAGAAGGUAAUAAUCCUGUAGUCGAAAAUGUUGUCUCUCUUGAGUGGAUCCUGAGUACGACGGAGCACGUGAAAUUCCGUCGGAAUCUGGGAGGACCAUCUCCUAAGGCUAAAUACUCUCUAGUGACCGAUAGUGAACCAGUACCGUGAGGGAAAGGUGAAAAGCACCCCGGAAGGGGAGUGAAAUAGAACCUGAAACCGUGUGCUUACAAGUAGUCAGAGCCCGUUAAUGGGUGAUGGCGUGCCUUUUGUAGAAUGAACCGGCGAGUUACGAUUUGAUGCAAGGUUAAGCAGUAAAUGUGGAGCCGUAGCGAAAGCGAGUCUGAAUAGGGCGUUUAGUAUUUGGUCGUAGACCCGAAACCAGGUGAUCUACCCUUGGUCAGGUUGAAGUUCAGGUAACACUGAAUGGAGGACCGAACCGACUUACGUUGAAAAGUGAGCGGAUGAACUGAGGGUAGCGGAGAAAUUCCAAUCGAACCUGGAGAUAGCUGGUUCUCUCCGAAAUAGCUUUAGGGCUAGCCUCAAGUGAUGAUUAUUGGAGGUAGAGCACUGUUUGGACGAGGGGCCCCUCUCGGGUUACCGAAUUCAGACAAACUCCGAAUGCCAAUUAAUUUAACUUGGGAGUCAGAACAUGGGUGAUAAGGUCCGUGUUCGAAAGGGAAACAGCCCAGACCACCAGCUAAGGUCCCAAAAUAUAUGUUAAGUGGAAAAGGAUGUGGCGUUGCCCAGACAACUAGGAUGUUGGCUUAGAAGCAGCCAUCAUUUAAAGAGUGCGUAAUAGCUCACUAGUCGAGUGACACUGCGCCGAAAAUGUACCGGGGCUAAACAUAUUACCGAAGCUGUGGAUUGUCCUUUGGACAAUGGUAGGAGAGCGUUCUAAGGGCGUUGAAGCAUGAUCGUAAGGACAUGUGGAGCGCUUAGAAGUGAGAAUGCCGGUGUGAGUAGCGAAAGACGGGUGAGAAUCCCGUCCACCGAUUGACUAAGGUUUCCAGAGGAAGGCUCGUCCGCUCUGGGUUAGUCGGGUCCUAAGCUGAGGCCGACAGGCGUAGGCGAUGGAUAACAGGUUGAUAUUCCUGUACCACCUAUA
RNAcentral lists this ribosomal RNA (1100 nucleotides) under Staphylococcus aureus. RNAcentral describes it as "partial 23S ribosomal RNA". It matches the Rfam family "Bacterial large subunit ribosomal RNA", at positions 344 to 1452 of the family's 2925-position model. The record is from RNAcentral. Lineage: Bacteria; Bacillati; Bacillota; Bacilli; Caryophanales; Staphylococcaceae.